RNAcentral lists this ribosomal RNA (274 nucleotides) under uncultured bacterium. RNAcentral describes it as "partial 16S ribosomal RNA". It matches the Rfam family "Bacterial small subunit ribosomal RNA", at positions 523 to 796 of the family's 1533-position model. The record is from RNAcentral.
AUGCGGAGGGUGCAAGCGUUAAUCGGAAUUACUGGGCGUAAAGCGUACGUAGGCGGUUAUUUAAGUCAGAUGUGAAAGCCCCGGGCUUAACUUGGGUACUGCAUUUGAAACUGGGUAACUAGAGUUUAGUAGAGGGGAGUGGAAUUUCAGGUGUAGCGGUGAAAUGCGUAGAGAUCUGAAGGAACACCAGUGGCGAAGGCGACUCCCUGGACUAAAACUGACGCUGAGGUACGAAAGCGAGGGUAGCAAACAGGAUUAGAAACCCCUGUAGUCC